RNAcentral lists this ribosomal RNA (253 nucleotides) under uncultured bacterium. Its description in RNAcentral is "partial 16S ribosomal RNA". It matches the Rfam family "Bacterial small subunit ribosomal RNA", at positions 524 to 776 of the family's 1533-position model. The record is from RNAcentral.
GACGGAGGGGGCUAGCGUUGUUCGGAAUUACUGGGCGUAAAGGGCGCGUAGGCGGCUCUUCAAGUUAGGCGUGAAAGCCCUGGGCUUAACCUAGGAAUUGCGUUUAAUACUGGAGAGCUAGAGAUUGGUAGAGGGAAAUGGAAUUCCUAGUGUAGAGGUGAAAUUCGUAGAUAUUAGGAAGAACACCAGAGGCGAAGGCGGUUUCCUGGGCCAAUACUGACGCUGAGGCGCGAAAGCGUGGGGAGCAAACAGG